Molecule: ribosomal RNA, 464 nt
Filed under: uncultured bacterium
Lineage: Bacteria
Description: partial 16S ribosomal RNA
Rfam family: Bacterial small subunit ribosomal RNA
Source: RNAcentral
GACGAACGCUGGCGGCGUGCUUAACACAUGCAAGUCGAGCGGUAAGGCCUCUUCGGGGGUACACGAGCGGCGAACGGGUGAGUAACACGUGGGUGACCUGCCCUCCGCUCUGGGAUAAGCCUGGGAAACUGGGUCUAAUACCGGAUAUGACCACAUGUUGCAUGGUGUGUGGUGGAAAGUUUUUUCGGCUGGGGAUGGGCCCGCGGCCUAUCAGCUUGUUGGUGGGGUGAUGGCCUACCAAGGCGACGACGGGUAGCCGGCCUGAGAGGGCGACCGGCCACACUGGGACUGAGACACGGCCCAGACUCCUACGGGAGGCAGCAGUGGGGAAUAUUGCGCAAUGGGCGGAAGCCUGACGCAGCGACGCCGCGUGGGGGAUGACGGCCUUCGGGUUGUAAACCUCUUUCGACCGGGACGAAGCGUAAGUGACGGUACCGGGAGAAGAAGCACCGGCCAACUACGUG